RNAcentral lists this ribosomal RNA (441 nucleotides) under uncultured bacterium. RNAcentral describes it as "bacterial SSU rRNA". It matches the Rfam family "Bacterial small subunit ribosomal RNA", at positions 337 to 794 of the family's 1533-position model. The record is from RNAcentral.
UCCUACGGGAGGCAGCAGUGGGGAAUAUUGGGCAAUGGGCGAAAGCCUGACCCAGCAACGCCGCGUGCACGAUGAAGGUCUUCGGAUCGUAAAGUGCUUUUCUGAGAGAUGAGAAAGGACAGUAUCUCAGGAAUAAGCCUCGGCUAACUACGUGCCAGCAGCCGCGGUAAAACGUAGGAGGCGAGCGUUAUCCGGAUUUACUGGGCGUAAAGCGUGUGUAGGCGGUUCGGCAAGUUGGAUGUGAAAGCUCCUGGCUUAACUAGGAGAGGUCGUUCAAUACUACCGAACUUGAGGGCAUCAGAGGAGAGUGGAAUUCCCGGUGUAGUGGUGAAAUGCGUAGAUAUCGGGAGGAACACCAGUGGCGAAAGCGGCUCUCUGGGAUGAUCCUGACGCUCAGACACGAAAGCUAGGGUAGCGAACGGGAUUAGAUACCCCGGUAGC